GAUGAACGCUGGCGGCGUGCCUAAUACAUGCAAGUCGAGCGAACAGACGAGGAGCUUGCUCCUCUGACGUUAGCGGCGGACGGGUGAGUAACACGUGGAUAACCUACCUAUAAGACUGGGAUAACUUCGGGAAACCGGAGCUAAUACCGGAUAAUAUAUUGAACCGCAUGGUUCAAUAGUGAAAGACGGUUUUGCUGUCACUUAUAGAUGGUUCCGCGCCGCAUUACCUAGUUGGUAAGGUAACGGCUUACCAAGGCAACGAUGCGUAGCCGACCUGAGAGGGUGAUCGGCCACACUGGAACUGAGACACGGUCCAGACUCCUACGGGAGGCAGCAGUAGGGAAUCUUCCGCAAUGGGCGAAAGCCUGACGGAGCAACGCCGCGUGAGUGAUGAAGGUCUUCGGAUCGUAAAACUCUGUUAUUAGGGAAGAACAAAUGUGUAAGUAACUAUGCACGUCUUGACGGUACCUAAUCAGAAAGCCACGGCUAACUACGUG
This 497-nucleotide ribosomal RNA is filed under the name uncultured bacterium. Its description in RNAcentral is "partial 16S ribosomal RNA". It matches the Rfam family "Bacterial small subunit ribosomal RNA", at positions 28 to 507 of the family's 1533-position model. The record is from RNAcentral.